GAUGAACGCUGGCGGCGUGCCUAAUACAUGCAAGUCGAACGCACAGCGAAAGGUGCUUGCACCUUUCAAGUGAGUGGCGAACGGGUGAGUAACACGUGGACAACCUGCCUCAAGGCUGGGGAUAACAUUUGGAAACAGAUGCUAAUACCGAAUAAAACUUAGUGUCGCAUGACACAAAGUUAAAAGGCGCUUCGGCGUCACCUAGAGAUGGAUCCGCGGUGCAUUAGUUAGUUGGUGGGGUAAAGGCCUACCAAGACAAUGAUGCAUAGCCGAGUUGAGAGACUGAUCGGCCACAUUGGGACUGAGACACGGCCCAAACUCCUACGGGAGGCUGCAGUAGGGAAUCUUCCACAAUGGGCGAAAGCCUGAUGGAGCAACGCCGCGUGUGUGAUGAAGGCUUUCGGGUCGUAAAGCACUGUUGUAUGGGAAGAACAGCUAGAAUAGGAAAUGAUUUUAGUUUGACGGUACCAGACCAGAAAGGGACGGCUAAAUACGUG
Molecule: ribosomal RNA, 497 nt
Filed under: uncultured bacterium
Lineage: Bacteria
Description: partial 16S ribosomal RNA
Rfam family: Bacterial small subunit ribosomal RNA
Source: RNAcentral